GAUGAACGCUGGCGGCGUGCCUAAUACAUGCAAGUCGAGCGAACGGACGAGAAGCUUGCUUUUCUGAUGUUAGCGGCGGACGGGUGAGUAACACGUGGAUAACCUACCUAUAAGACUGGGAUAACUUCGGGAAACCGGAGCUAAUACCGGAUAAUAUUUUGAACCGCAUGGUUCAAAAGUGAGAGACGGUCUUGCUGUCACUUAUAGAUGGAUCCGCGCUGCAUUAGCUAGUUGGUAAGGUAACGGCUUACCAAGGCAACGAUGCAUAGCCGACCUGAGAGGGUGAUCGGCCACACUGGAACUGAGACACGGUCCAGACUCCUACGGGAGGCAGCAGUAGGGAAUCUUCCGCAAUGGGCGAAAGCCUGACGGAGCAACGCCGCGUGAGUGAUGAAGGUCUUCGGAUCGUAAAACUCUGUUAUUAGGGAAGAACAUAUGUGUAAGUAACUGUGCACAUCUUGACGGUACCUAAUCAGAAAGCCACGGUUAACUACGUG
This 497-nucleotide ribosomal RNA is filed under the name uncultured bacterium. RNAcentral's name for it is "partial 16S ribosomal RNA". It matches the Rfam family "Bacterial small subunit ribosomal RNA", at positions 28 to 507 of the family's 1533-position model. The record is from RNAcentral.